AUUGAACGCUGGCGGCAGGCCUGACACAUGCAAGUCGGACGGUAGCACAGAGGAGCUUGCUCCUUGGGUGACGAGUGGCGGACGGGUGAGUAAUGUCUGGGGAUCUGCCCGAUAGAGGGGGAUAACCACUGGAAACGGUGGCUAAUACCGCAUAACGUCGCAAGACCAAAGAGGGGGACCUUCGGGCCUCUCACUAUCGGAUGAACCCGGAUGGGAUUAGCUAGUAGGCGGGGUAAUGGCCCACCUAGGCGACGAUCCCUAGCUGGUCUGAGAGGGUAAACAGCCACACUGUAACAGAGACACGGUCCAGACUCCUACGGGAGGCAGCAGUGGGGAAUAUUGCACAAUGGGCGCAAGCCUGAUGCAGCCAUGCCGCGUGUAUGAAGAAGGCCUUCGGGUUGUAAAGUACUUUCAGCGGGGAGGAAGGCGGUGCGGUUAAUAACCGCGCCGAUUGACGUUACCCGCAGAAGAAGCACCGGCUAACUCCGUGCCAGCCGCCGCCGUAA
Molecule: ribosomal RNA, 506 nt
Filed under: uncultured bacterium
Lineage: Bacteria
Description: partial 16S ribosomal RNA
Rfam family: Bacterial small subunit ribosomal RNA
Source: RNAcentral